RNAcentral lists this ribosomal RNA (944 nucleotides) under uncultured archaeon. RNAcentral's name for it is "bacterial SSU rRNA". It matches the Rfam family "Archaeal small subunit ribosomal RNA", at positions 1 to 922 of the family's 1478-position model. The record is from RNAcentral.
UUCCGGUUGAUCCUGCCGGACCUUACUGCUAUCGGGGUGGGACUAAAACAUGCGAGUCGAGCGUCUCUAGCUAUGUUGAGACGCGGCAGACGGCUCAGUAACACGUGGCUAACCUACCCUCAGGACGAGGACAAACCCGGGAAACUGGGGCUAAUACUCGAUAGGUGAGUAUGUCUGGAAUGAUUUCUCACUCAAAGGGCUUUAGAAACAUGCUUCUAAAGUCGCCUGGGGAUGGGGCCGCGUCCGAUCAGGUUGUUGGUGAGGUAAUGGCUCACCAAGCCUAUAACCGGUACGGGCCGUGAGAGCGGUAGCCCGGAGAUGGGUACUGAGACAAGGACCCAGGCCCUACGGGGCGCAGCAGUCGCGAAAACUCCGCAAUGCACGAAAGUGUGACGGGGCUACCCCGAGUGCCAUCCGCUGAGGAUGGCUUUUCUUUGGUGUAACUAGUCGGGGGAAUAAGGAGAGGGCAAGACUGGUGUCAGCCGCCGCGGUAAUACCAGCUCUCCGAGUGGUAGGGAUGAUUAUUGGGCUUAAAGCGUCCGUAGCCGGCUUAGCAAGUCUCCUGUUAAAUUCAGCGACCUAAUCGUUGAGCCGCGGGAGAUACUACUAGGCUAGGAGGCGGGAGAGGUCGACGGUACUUCUGGGGUAGGGGUGAAAUCCUAUAAUCCCGGGAGGACCACCAGUGGCGAACGCUGUUGACUAGAACGCGCUCGACGGUGAGGGACGAAAGCUGGUGGAGCGAACCGGAUUAGAUACCCGGGUAGUCCCAGCCGUAAACGAUGCGGGCUAGGUGUUGGGGUGGCUACGUUGCCACUUCAGUGCCGCAUGGGAAGCCAUUAAGUCCCGCUGCCUGGGGCAGUACGGCGCAAGGCUGAUACUUAAAGGUAGUUGCGGGGGUGCACCACAAGGCGUGAAGCUUGCAGGUCAGUGGGACUCACGCCGGU